Molecule: long non-coding RNA, 552 nt
Filed under: Aotus nancymaae (Ma's night monkey)
Lineage: Eukaryota; Metazoa; Chordata; Mammalia; Primates; Aotidae
Description: lncRNA (ENSANAG00000038588.1)
Source: RNAcentral
CGAGACUCUGGGCUUCUCUUGACUCAGUUUCCUCUACUGUAACUUGCGGAUGGGGGCUUCCGCACAUGCAGGCUGUCAGGGUGAGACUGAGCCGAAGAGUGCUCGAGGGUCCCCGAAGUCCUCCCAGAGGUUGGGGUGCGGCUGCCUUGGCGACCAUUUGUCCUGCAGUUUGUAUGGACCCAGGCUGUCCUUCUGUGUGCUGUAAUGAGGUGAACAUGUCCAUGAGCCUGGCAGGGAGGAAUCCUCCAGCCUCUUCUUCUCUGGUGCACCAGGUCGUUGGCGGGCCCUGAGAUACAAGUAAGCAGGAACGUCAGAGCAGGAGGAGCCAGUGGAGCCAUCAGGAUACCCAGGCCCAUGGGGCAGGAGGCCCCAGUCACCGCAGGAUUGGGGCGGAAGACAAGAGGCGGCCGGCUGUGAGGGAGGCAACCUCCCUCCCCGCUCUUGCACCUCGUGGCCAUGUGGUUUGGGACAGGACACCCCUGAGAGUGCAGGCACCUCCCCCUCCCACCCCUCCAUCCCUUUGGGGGCCACCGCCUGGCCCCCCACCCGGUC